ACUCGCCACCUUUCCACCCACCGAUGGAUCGCUAACUUCCUGUGUUGCAAUUUCCAAAAAUUUUUCUGGAUAAACUCCAAGGUCACUAAAUUUAUGAAGACCCAGAAUGUGAUCUUCCUCAUAACCACUCUCCUUUUGGAAUUGCACAAGCCUAGUGCAUCGAGUGAGGAUAAAGAGAAGUCGGGUAUGCGCUUGUUUGAGGAUCCCCAUUGGCAGCUCGUGACGCUUAUCACCUAGAUUCUGGACAAUGGCCUCGCAUUUGGUCCAGAAAUCAUUAGGUGGCAUUUUUGAACAUUGCCG
This 300-nucleotide unclassified non-coding RNA is filed under the name Hevea brasiliensis (rubber tree). Lineage: Eukaryota; Viridiplantae; Streptophyta; Magnoliopsida; Malpighiales; Euphorbiaceae. The record is from RNAcentral.